AUUGAACGCUGGCGGCAUGCCUUACACAUGCAAGUCGAACGGCAGCACGGGAGCAAUCCUGGUGGCGAGUGGCGAACGGGUGAGUAAUAUAUCGGAACGUGCCCAGUCGUGGGGAUAACGUAGCGAAAGCUACGCUAAUACCGCAUACGAUCUAUGGAUGAAAGCGGGGGAUCGCAAGACCUCGCGCGAUUGGAGCGGCCGAUAUCAGAUUAGGUAGUUGGUGAGGUAAAGGCUCACCAAGCCGACGAUCUGUAGCUGGUCUGAGAGGACGACCAGCCACACUGGGACUGAGACACGGCCCAGACUCCUACGGGAGGCAGCAGUGGGGAAUUUUUGGGACAAUGGGCGCAAGCCUGAUCCAGCAAUGCCGCGUGCAGGAUGAAGGCCUUCGGUUGUAAC
Molecule: ribosomal RNA, 399 nt
Filed under: uncultured bacterium
Lineage: Bacteria
Description: bacterial SSU rRNA
Rfam family: Bacterial small subunit ribosomal RNA
Source: RNAcentral